Molecule: transfer RNA, 72 nt
Filed under: Oscillibacter sp.
Lineage: Bacteria; Bacillati; Bacillota; Clostridia; Eubacteriales; Oscillospiraceae
Description: tRNA-Ala
Rfam family: tRNA
About the family: Transfer RNA (tRNA) molecules are approximately 80 nucleotides in length.
Source: RNAcentral
GGAGUGCUCAGCUGGGAGAGCGCUUGAAUGGCAUUCAAGAGGUCAGCGGUUCGAUCCCGCUUAUCUCCACCA